GACGAACGCUGGCGGCGUGCUUAACACAUGCAAGUCGAACGGAAAGGCCCUGCUUUUGUGGGGUGCUCGAGUGGCGAACGGGUGAGUAACACGUGAGUAACCUGCCCUUGACUUUGGGAUAACUUCCGGAAACUGGGGCUAAUAACGGAUAGGAGCUCCUGCUGCCUGCUGGGGGUUGGAAAGUUUCGGCAGUUGGGGAUGGACUCGCGGCUUAGCAGCUGGUUGGUGGGGUAGUGGCUUCCCAAGGCGUUGACGGGUCGCCGGCCUGAGAGGGUGACCAGCCACAGUGGGACUGAGAUACGGCCCAGAGUCCUACGGGAUGCAGCAGUGGGGAAGAUUGCACGAUGGGCGGAAGCCGGAUGCAGCAACGCCGCGUGCGGGAUGACGGCCUUCGGGGUGUAAACCGCUUUCGCCUGUGACGAAGCGUGAGUGACGGUAAUGGGUAAGGAAGCACCGGCUAACUACGUG
RNAcentral lists this ribosomal RNA (468 nucleotides) under uncultured bacterium. Its description in RNAcentral is "partial 16S ribosomal RNA". It matches the Rfam family "Bacterial small subunit ribosomal RNA", at positions 28 to 507 of the family's 1533-position model. The record is from RNAcentral.